ACAGAACAGAUCUGCACUUCUAGAGAGAGCCAAAGCUUCAGUGAAAGUUAAUGAUGGAGGAAAGAAAGACCCACUUGGACUAUUAUGCUGUAGACUUGUAUGGCCUCUUUCCAGCAGGGUGGCCUGGACUUCUUUACAUAGCAGUUGGGUUCUAAGGGAAAAGCAGAAGCUGGAAGUGGCCGUUCUCCGAAGGCCUGUCUGCGCUCAGAAAUCCCGGAUGUUAUGUCUGCUGCAUUUUACUGGUCAAAGCAAGGUCGUCCACACCAAAGGAGUGAGCUCACACACACUGAAGAGUAGAGGAGGCAACAAAUGGCUUCUAAACGUGGUAAUUACCCCAUGCUACUUUCAAGAUUUGAAGAUGUGCCAAAAGUUGUCUGACCCCAGAGUGUGCACUAAAUACUGCUUUGGAAACCAUUAAGAACCAAUGCUUUAGCAACCUAAUUUAUGGGCACAGUAGCUUCACAGCAAUGUUUGCAGUGGAAAAUUCCUCUAACUCCCAGGAUAAAGGAUGGGAAUAAUUAUUCUGGACUGGAAGAAUGUACUCUGAAAUAUGGAAGAGGAACAUGAUAAAAAAGGGGUAAACCUUCAUAUGAAUAUUUAUGAAAUCCCGAGUUCUUUUGACUAUUUCUAAGGAAAGAUACACCGACAUGAAAUCUUUGGGUGAUUUUCUGUUUUACUUACAAGGGGAAAAAAGGAAUAAAGAUGUUUCUCUCUGCUAUCAACGGU
Long non-coding RNA from Heterocephalus glaber (naked mole-rat), 726 nucleotides. The record is from Ensembl. Lineage: Eukaryota; Metazoa; Chordata; Mammalia; Rodentia; Bathyergidae.